RNAcentral lists this ribosomal RNA (532 nucleotides) under uncultured Bacteroidota bacterium. RNAcentral's name for it is "bacterial SSU rRNA". It matches the Rfam family "Bacterial small subunit ribosomal RNA", at positions 224 to 753 of the family's 1533-position model. Lineage: Bacteria; Pseudomonadati; Bacteroidota. The record is from RNAcentral.
GAUGAGCAUGCGUCCCAUUAGCUUGUUGGUAAGGUAACGGCUUACCAAGGCAACGAUGGGUAGGGGUCCUGAGAGGGAGAUCCCCCACACUGGUACUGAGACACGGACCAGACUCCUACGGGAGGCAGCAGUGAGGAAUAUUGGUCAAUGGGCGCAAGCCUGAACCAGCCAUGCCGCGUGCAGGAUGAAGCAUCUAUGGUGUGUAAACUGCUUUUGUACGAGAAGAAACACUCCUACGUGUAGGAGCUUGACGGUAUCGUAAGAAUAAGGACCGGCUAACUCCGUGCCAGCAGCCGCGGUAAUACGGAGGGUCCAAGCGUUAUCCGGAAUCAUUGGGUUUAAAGGGUCCGUAGGCGGUUUUGUAAGUCAGUGGUGAAAGCCCAUCGCUCAACGGUGGAACGGCCAUUGAUACCGCAAGACUUGAAUUAUUGGGAAGUAACUAGAAUAUGUAGUGUAGCGGUGAAAUGCUUAGAGAUUACAUGGAAUACCAAUUGCGAAGGCAGGUUACUACCAAUAUAUUGACGCUGAUGGA